Molecule: ribosomal RNA, 216 nt
Filed under: Eimeria intestinalis
Lineage: Eukaryota; Apicomplexa; Conoidasida; Eucoccidiorida; Eimeriidae
Description: large subunit ribosomal RNA
Source: RNAcentral
UUUGCCUGGAGGUUGUAAUGGUCCGUACAGUAUCAAGUAAGAGGAAUGUUAGAGGUAAGAGACUAGCGGUGGAGCACAAAGUUUCAUUCGAAAGUACACGCUAAACCUUACCAUGCAUAAAACAUAAUUUUACUGUAUAAAAAAUUAUUGGUAUUGCAUGCCUGGUGUAAAUAAAAACUUUUUAACCAUACAUGAGAUCGCUUAUCUGGACCAAUA